RNAcentral lists this transfer RNA (81 nucleotides) under Spirochaetia bacterium. RNAcentral describes it as "tRNA-Leu". It matches the Rfam family "tRNA". From Rfam's summary of the family: Transfer RNA (tRNA) molecules are approximately 80 nucleotides in length. The record is from RNAcentral. Lineage: Bacteria; Pseudomonadati; Spirochaetota; Spirochaetia.
GCCGGGGUGGUGGAACGGUAGACACCGGGGACUUAAAAUCCCCUGCCGCGAGGCGUACGGGUUCAAGUCCCGUUCCCGGCA